GAUGAAGAACGCAGCGAAAUGCGAUAAGUAGUGUGAAUUGCAGAAUUCCGUGAAUCAUCGAAUCUUUGAACGCACAUUGCGCCUUCUGGUAUUCCGGAAGGCAUGCCUGUUCGAGAGUCAUUAACAACCGUUUCGAUCCCUUUCUUUCAGAAAUUACAAAGAGGAAAAGGGUUUGGUUAUGGUGGAGGAGGGAAAGGGAGCGUUUAGCCUGUAAAAAAAGAGGCUGUGUUCCGCCUCCCCCCCAAAAUUGUACAGGCGGUCGUGUGCGCCCACGCUUCGAGGUGUUGUAAAAGCUGCCACGGCACUUUUCACCUGUGCAGUGCGAGAUUGGCCAGCCGGUUUAAAAACCCCUCCAAACAAUCAAAGGUUGACCUCGGAUCAGGUAGGGAUACCCGCUGAACUUAAGCAUAUCAAUAAGCGGAGGA
RNAcentral lists this unclassified non-coding RNA (425 nucleotides) under soil metagenome. RNAcentral's name for it is "partial contains 5.8S ribosomal RNA, internal transcribed spacer 2, and large subunit ribosomal RNA". The stretch from base 1 to 120 matches the Rfam family "5.8S ribosomal RNA", at positions 35 to 154 of the family's 154-position model. The record is from RNAcentral.